This 406-nucleotide ribosomal RNA is filed under the name uncultured bacterium. RNAcentral's name for it is "partial 16S ribosomal RNA". It matches the Rfam family "Bacterial small subunit ribosomal RNA", at positions 30 to 526 of the family's 1533-position model. The record is from RNAcentral.
AUUGAACGCUGGCGGCGUGCUUUACACAUGCAAGUCGGACGAGUGGCGGACGGGUGAGUAACGCAUCGGAACGUACCGAAUAAGGGGGGAUAACUGUCCGAAAGGACAGCUAAUACCGCAUACUAUUCGAGCGGCCGAUGUCUGAUUAGCUGGUUGGCGGGGUAAAGGCCCACCAAGGCGACGAUCAGUAGCGGGUCUGAGAGGAUGACCAGCCAGACUGGGACUGAGCCACGGCCCAGACUCCUACGGGAGGCAGCAGUGGGGAAUUUUGGACAAUGGGCGCAAGCCUGAUCCAGCCAUGCCGCGUGUCUGAAGAAGGCCUUCGGGUUGUAAAGGACUUUUGUCAGGGAAGCGGUACCUGAAGAAUAAGCACCGGCUAACUCCGUGCCAGCCGCCGCGGUAAUAC